GAACAGAAAAUAAAGAAGAGUAGAGAGAUGCAACAAUAAGUGAGGGGGAGAAAAAGAUGCAGAAAUCUCUUUCCAAAGAUGGUGAAGACUCUGAACAUAAACUAAACACGUCAACAUCAAUUUCAUUUCAUGAAAGGGUAUGAACCAUUCCAUACACAACAAUCUGUUUAUAAUUUUCCAAACAAUUUCUUCAGCAAAUAAAUGUCAAUAACAUAUAAAUUCAGCCACCGGUUUUCAUGCUCAUAAC
RNAcentral lists this unclassified non-coding RNA (247 nucleotides) under Hevea brasiliensis (rubber tree). The record is from RNAcentral. Lineage: Eukaryota; Viridiplantae; Streptophyta; Magnoliopsida; Malpighiales; Euphorbiaceae.